This is an unclassified non-coding RNA of 299 nucleotides. It matches the Rfam family "Metazoan signal recognition particle RNA". Rfam says of the family: The signal recognition particle (SRP) is a universally conserved ribonucleoprotein. It is involved in the co-translational targeting of proteins to membranes. The record is from Ensembl.
GCCGGGUGCAGUGGCGCGCGCCUGUAAUCCAAGCUGCUGGGAGGCUGAGGCUGGCGGAUCGCUUGAGUUCAGGGGUUCUGGGCUGCAGUGGACUAUGUCGAUCGGGUGUCCGCGCUAAGUUCGGUAUCGAUAUGGUGCUCCUGGGGGAGCUCGGGACCACCAGGUCGUCUAAGGAGGGGUGAACCGGCCCAGGUCGGAGACGGAGCAGGUCAAAGCCCCCGUGCCGAUCAGUAGUGGGGUCGCACCUGUGAAUAGACACUGCAGUGCAGCCUGAGCGAUACAGCGAAACUCAGUCUUUU